Molecule: ribosomal RNA, 465 nt
Filed under: uncultured bacterium
Lineage: Bacteria
Description: partial 16S ribosomal RNA
Rfam family: Bacterial small subunit ribosomal RNA
Source: RNAcentral
CCUACGGGUGACAGCAGUGGGGAAUAUUGCGCAAUGGGCGAAAGCCUGACGCAGCGACGCCGCGUGAGGGAUGAAGGUCUUCGGAUCGUAAAACUCUGUCAGCAGGGAAGAAAGGUCACUGUACUAAUCAGCAGUGAAUUGACGGUACCUACAAAGGACGCACAGGCUAACUCCGUGCCAGCAGCCGCGGUAAUACGGAGGGGGCGAGCGUUAAUCGGAAUUACUGGGAGUAAAGCGCGCGUAGGCGGUAUGUCAAGUCAAGGGUGAAAUCCCGGCGCUCAACGUGGGAACUGCCUUUGAAACUGGCAAACUUGAGUGUGUGAGAGGAUAGUGGAAUUCCAGGUGUAGGGGUGAAAUCCGUAGAUAUCUGGAGGAACAUCAGUGGCGAAGGCGACUAUCUGGCACAUAACUGACGCUGAGGAUCGAAAGCGUGGGUAGCAAACAGGAUUAGAUACCCUUGUAGUC